AACGAACGCUGGCGGCAUGCCUAACACAUGCAAGUCGAACGAGACCUUCGGGUCUAGUGGCGCACGGGUGCGUAACGCGUGGGAACCUGCCCUUAGGUUCGGAAUAACUCCCCGAAAGGGGUGCUAAUACCGGAUAAUGUCUUCGGACCAAAGAUUUAUCGCCUUUGGAUGGGCCCGCGUUGGAUUAGCUAGUUGGUAGGGUAAAAGCCUACCAAGGCGACGAUCCAUAGCUGGUCUGAGAGGAUGAUCAGCCACACUGGGACUGAGACACGGCCCAGACUCCUAGGGGGGGCAGCAGUGGGGAAUAUUGGAAAAUGGGCGAAAGCCUGAUCCAGCAAGGCCGGGGGAGUGAUGAAGGCCUUAGGGUUGUAAAGCUUUUUUACCCGGGAUGAUAAUGACAGUACCGGGAGAAUAAGCCCCGGCUAACCCCGU
RNAcentral lists this ribosomal RNA (432 nucleotides) under uncultured bacterium. RNAcentral's name for it is "partial 16S ribosomal RNA". It matches the Rfam family "Bacterial small subunit ribosomal RNA", at positions 29 to 506 of the family's 1533-position model. The record is from RNAcentral.